Molecule: long non-coding RNA, 526 nt
Organism: Rhopalosiphum padi (bird cherry-oat aphid)
Lineage: Eukaryota; Metazoa; Arthropoda; Insecta; Hemiptera; Aphididae
Exons: 3
Source: RefSeq, a predicted model, not a curated record
GAAAAAAGUCAGCGCGCGCACAGAACGUUUCAUUUAUUUACCGGCAAUGUAGCGGCACCUACAACAGUAGUACAGUACAACCACUGGUCAUAAUAAUUUGGUCGUGUUUCAUAAGCCAACGAGUUCACCGAAAAAAUGUGAAUAUAAUAUUGAAGAAAAACGUAAUACGUAUUACAUACUUCCUGUGAUAAUGGUAAUGGUCCUUCAUAGUUCAUAUUAUAGUGCUGUCACAGGCGCAUAGAUGGUGUAAUUGUUAAUUAGGAUUUCUGAAAUGUUACGAUUGGGUCCCAAAAAUCUAAAUUCCAAAAUCAAGAGAUCGAGUUUAAUCUGAUGUAAGGACUAACUAUAGUACUAACUAUAGAUCCAGUUUUCGAGAGUUUAUCCAUAAACCACCCUCAAUAUUGAAGAUUAAAGCAUUUUUUCUAUUAUGUAUGAAAUGUCGUGGAAAUUUGUACUUAAAACGCUUGUAAAAUAUUAAUGUGAUUUCCCGAAAAACUUUUUAUUUUUGCUUUAGGUAAAAAAACUA